RNA transcript from Ctenopharyngodon idella (grass carp), 2259 nucleotides. It is a transcript of the gene named 3-hydroxyanthranilate 3,4-dioxygenase, with no coding region annotated. The record is from RefSeq and is a predicted model, not a curated record. Lineage: Eukaryota; Metazoa; Chordata; Actinopteri; Cypriniformes; Xenocyprididae. The transcript is spliced from 13 exons.
GUACAGCGCUUCACUGUGAGAUGUUUCUUUUUUUUCUUUUUCUUUAGAUGCAAGCGUUGAAGCAUCGGUGUCAAACGUCCCAUCAUGCAGUAACUUGUAACUAUGUCACCUUAGAUUAAAAUGUUACCUAAGUAAAAGAUGACUGACAACGUGAUCUCUAACACAUUCUCUGCACAUGAUUUCUGAUAAAUGAGGAAUUCAUGCAUCAGACAGAACUAAGAUCGUAUCACUUCCCUUUUGUAUGCAAUGCUACCACUUAACCUUCAGUUUGAGAGAAAAAUGACCAACCAUUCUCUUCAUGUGAACAUUGACAAGUGGAUUGCUGAGAAUGAAAGUUCAUUUGUACCACCUGUUUGCAACAAAUUAAUGUUCUUUUAUCAAUUGAAUAUUAUGUAUGUUGGUGGUCCAAAUGUGAGAAAGGAUUAUCACAUUGAGGAAGGGGAAGAGCUCUUUUACCAGGUGAGGGGUGACAUGGUUUUGAAAGUGAUAGAGAAUGGCAAGCAUAAAGAAGUACAUAUUCGAGAAGGAGAGAUGUUCCUGCUUCCAGCGCGGAUUCCCCACUCCCCUCAGAGACAGGCAAACACAGUAGGGCUGGUCGUGGAGAGGAGGCGGCUUCGUUCAGAGACAGAUGGCCUGAGGUACUUUGUGGCUAAUAGUACAGAUGUCUUGUUUGAACGUUGGUUCUACUGUGAGAACCUUGGAACCCAACUUGUUCCCAUCAUCAAAGAGUUUAUGGAAUCCAAACAGCACAAAACAGGAAAACCUGAUCCAGCUGAACCCAUCAAGCCAGCCCCAUACCCACUCAACACUAUGAAUGUGAUGACACCGUUCUGCUUUAGAGAGUGGGUGGAAAAGCAGAAGCCUGCCUUGGCCAGUGGUCAGCCGGUGGAUAUGUUUGGAGCAAAGUUUGAGACGGAGACGCUACUCUUUGGUCCUGGGACAUCUGAAUCCUCUAGAAGACGAACUGAUGGCUGGAUUUGGCAGCUGGAGGGGUCCUCCAAUGUCUUCAUGAAUGGCAAGGAGUACAUCCUGUCUGCAGUGGAUUGUCUGCUUAUAUUUGGAGAAACAGAGUAUCAGUGGAAACGGUCACAGGAUUGUGUUGCUUUGUAUGUUGCUCAAGACCCAGACAGGAAGAGACCUUACUGAGACACAUAAAGGCAUAAGAUCCCUUGUUUAGGGCAAAAUGGGUGGUUAUUGCUGCUCUCCCUGCUCUUAUCCAUGCUAGGCGGCCCAGAACAAAACCAUACCACCAAUACAAACUCUAUGCAUUAUCAAUCAUAUUUGACGAUAGUGGUCCUUACAGAAUUGUUACCUAAAGCCUGGGAUACACUGCACAAUUUUCGGCUGUCCCAGAUGAAAGAAUGCCAUCGUGAUACAAUCGUGGCGAUUUCUGUGAUCAUGGCUUUUACUCGGUGGUCCUAUGUCGUACAGUGAGAGAGGUUCAAAGACGGCCAUUUUCCCGGGCUUGUGACCAAAGAUAGCUUACGAUAAUUUUCUGACAGUGUCAGAAAUUCAGCAUGAUCAACGCACAGUGUGUUUGCUGCUACGACCCAUGUCUACUGACCAGCCAAUAAAAAUGCGACAUGAAAUCGAGACAUGGCACUAAAAUUUAAAACUGCUUACAUCAAGCUCUUUUCACCUUCUUCUUUUGCCGCUUCCUUUUUUUUUUAGCACACAUAAAAACUACAACUGCCAAAGUGUGAUUCAGCAUGGUCUUUUUGUUUACCACUAGCACAUGCUGAUGAAGUUUUAUUCUUAUAUAGAAAGUCAAUAAGUGUCAUCAUCGUACAGUCUACAUGCAUGCAUGUCAUACCCAAGUUUAAUAGAUCUAUGUCGCACAGUGUGAUUUGUAAUGAUCUUAUAGGAUUGCUAAAAUCGUGCAGUGUAUCCCGGGCUUAAGGUAACAAUGCUGAAAUAUCAGAGCGGAGGGCUGUUUCACAAAAGACGCUAAGAAAAGUGGGGAUUAAACUCCAACACCUGACUUGAAUGAACCUAACAAAUAAGUUGGGGCUAAAGCAGUUUCGUAAAAGGUGCGCUGCAGUGCUACGGGGGUAAUCAGGUGGAUUGGUUACACCGGUGCACAGGUGUGCCCCUGUCUAGAAAAGCAUCCUGGCUUGCUUUCAUGAGGCGGGCGAUUUCUCCUUACAUCGAUCCCUGGCUAGGACCAAGGCAGAAACUGGCACUGUCACAUGCUUUGAAAGGCUUUGCAGCCGAAAUUUUGUGAUUAAAAAUUUAAAUAAAUUUGUUUUUGAAAAUGCA